GAGUUAGGAUCUGGGUUUGGGGUUGAAUUGGGUAGGGAUGAAGUUCGUGCCGAUGGACUUCGGGUUGCCAGUAUUGAUUCGGAGUCGGAUUCGUGUUCUGACGGUGAGAUUGUUGAUUUGGAUAGUUUUAUUGAUGAUCGCAUGGGAUUGGUGAAUUCUAAUGAGGAAUUUGAAUGGGGGGAAUUGGACCAAGCAACCAACGAAAGUGAAAAUCUGAUUAUGGCGAUUGAUAGCGUCGAGGAAUUAUCGCUAUCAUCAUCCAG
Molecule: unclassified non-coding RNA, 263 nt
Filed under: Hevea brasiliensis (rubber tree)
Lineage: Eukaryota; Viridiplantae; Streptophyta; Magnoliopsida; Malpighiales; Euphorbiaceae
Source: RNAcentral